RNAcentral lists this long non-coding RNA (326 nucleotides) under Elaeis guineensis (African oil palm). RNAcentral describes it as "long non-coding RNA (EGUI_LNC011271)". Lineage: Eukaryota; Viridiplantae; Streptophyta; Magnoliopsida; Arecales; Arecaceae. The record is from RNAcentral.
CCGAAUCGAACCGAACAAGACAAAUCGAUGUGAUUUUUUUGAUAUUUGGUGCAGUGCAGUUUUAGAUUUUAAGAAAUUUUGAUUUUCGGUUCGGUUUGAUUUGAAAUCGAUGAAAAAUCGAAAAAAUUGAACUGCACCGAAUUGUUUAAUCUUAUCUCUAUUUCUUAAUAUUCAUUUCGGCCACCUCCCUUUUCAAGGGUCCGACAGGAUCGGAGGGCGGCACCCGAGCUCUAAACAUGCUCCGGCACCGAUGGUCACGGAGAGACAUGGUCGGAAGAGAACAAUCCGGCUUAGAUCGAAAAGCAUGAAGAAGAGGGAGCGGCCCA